RNAcentral lists this non-coding RNA (30 nucleotides) under Homo sapiens (human). Lineage: Eukaryota; Metazoa; Chordata; Mammalia; Primates; Hominidae. The record is from RNAcentral.
UACGCUUGGUGCUGAAUUAAUGUUAGUGAA